This 520-nucleotide ribosomal RNA is filed under the name uncultured Alphaproteobacteria bacterium. RNAcentral's name for it is "bacterial SSU rRNA". It matches the Rfam family "Bacterial small subunit ribosomal RNA", at positions 9 to 571 of the family's 1533-position model. The record is from RNAcentral. Lineage: Bacteria; Pseudomonadati; Pseudomonadota; Alphaproteobacteria.
GAGUUUGAUUCUGGCUCAGAGCGAACGCUGGCGGCAUGCUCAACACAUGCAAGUCGCACGGGCACUUUCGGGUGUCAGUGGCGGACGGGUGAGUAACGCGUAGGUAUCUGUCCUUGGGUGGGGGAUAACCGUGGGAAACUACGGCUAAUACCGCAUGACACCUGUGGGUCAAAGGCGAGAGUCGCCUGAGGAGGAGCCUGCGUACGAUUAGCUUGUUGGUGGGGUAAAGGCCUACCAAGGCGACGAUCGUUAGCUGGUCUGAGAGGAUGAUCAGCCACACUGGGACUGAGACACGGCCCAGACUCCUACGGGAGGCAGCAGUGGGGAAUAUUGGACAAUGGGCGAAAGCCUGAUCCAGCAAUGCCGCGUGGAUGAAGAAGGUUUUCGGAUUGUAAAGUCCUUUCGGCGGGGACGAUGAUGACGGUACCCGCAGAAGAAGCCCCGGCUAACUUCGUGCCAGCAGCCGCGGUAAUACGAAGGGGGCUAGCGUUGCUCGGAAUGACUGGGCGUAAAGGGCGCG